GAUGAACGCUGGCGGCGUGCCUAAUACAUGCAAGUCGAGCGAACAGACGAGGAGCUUGCUCCUCUGACGUUAGCGGCGGACGGGUGAGUAACACGUGGAUAACCUACCUAUAAGACUGGGAUAACUUCGGGAAACCGGAGCUAAUACCGGAUAAUAUAUUGAACCGCAUGGUUCAAUAGUGAAAGACGGUUUUGCUGUCACUUAUAGAUGGAUCCGCGCCGCAUUAGCUAGUUGGUAAGGUAACGGCUUACCAAGGCAACGAUGCGUAGCCGACCUGAGAGGGUGAUCGGCCACACUGGAACUGAGACACGGUCCAGACUCCUACGGGAGGCAGCAGCAGGGAAUCUUCCGCAAUGGGCGAAAGCCUGACGGAGCAACGCCGCGUGAGUGAUGAAGGUCUUCGGAUCGUAAAACUCUGUUAUUAGGGAAGAACAAAUGUGUAAGUAACUAUGCACGUCUUGACGGUACCUAAUCAGAAAGCCACGGCUAACUACGUG
Molecule: ribosomal RNA, 497 nt
Filed under: uncultured bacterium
Lineage: Bacteria
Description: partial 16S ribosomal RNA
Rfam family: Bacterial small subunit ribosomal RNA
Source: RNAcentral